Doryrhamphus excisus (bluestripe pipefish) is the source of this 1395-nucleotide non-coding RNA. The record is from RefSeq and is a predicted model, not a curated record. NCBI's taxonomy places the organism in Eukaryota, Metazoa, Chordata, Actinopteri, Syngnathiformes, Syngnathidae.
UCUCUACCGCCUGUCCUGAUAUUUCCGAGGCAAGAUGGCGAACUAGACGCCCGGACGUCUCUCCCUGGCACAACCCACACCCCAGCUCACCACCCCAACCAGAUACCAACUGGAUGAGGAAACCGGCACAGAUCAUCCUGUCAGUGAUGGAGCUGCCGUACACGGCGGGACUGGAACACUUGGCCCUUUCUAUCAGAGGGAUGUUGGCCUUCUGCAGCGAUGGAGAAAUGUUUCCUAAAGGCAAAGCAAGGGUAGCCCCAACCAGUCACCACCAGUGGGGCUGAAGCAGUGAGGCCGAAGGCUUUUGGAGGAAUACAAACAGGCUUCUGACUCACUGGAAAAUGGAGGGAUUUGCUCAGAGCGGACAUGUACGGGCCUGUCAGUGUUAAACCAGUCACACAACCGCACGGCGUCUAGCACCCUGGAGCCCUAGUCAACCAUCCAGAAACCUGUAAACACCCCUAGCUCCAGUGGUUGUGUCUCCAUAAAUAGAACCAACCUGAACAGGACAAGGAAACCACCGCUCCGGAUGUGCAUACUCUCCUGUCAGAGGGAGGAAAAAUGAGACAAACAUGUCACUCACCGGUCGACUGUUGCCCGAUCAACAGGAGUGCUGGCCGCCACCGCCGACCUGAGCGCAGCGAACGGUCCAGAUCUCAGGUCCAAGGGUGUCGGACAGCGGCCCUUUCGGCGACCGCAGGCCUGUAAUAAAGCACGCCGGUGCGUGGCGUUAAGUUUCGACGCUGCGCAGAUUCAGAGAGAGAGAGACCUGUUUUGGAGUGGCUGAGCCCUGCUUACAAACAAAACCAAAGUAUUCCAGGUAACCUGACACUUGAAGCCGCUUCUGUCAUUGCCUACCUGUGCGCCUUUUUCACUUUAGUCCCUCCCCCCGCAUACACCCACUCCAAACUUUUCAUCCCUUUUUUUCGAGCCCAGUGGACAAAUUGCAGUCUGUUUCUUUUUAUAGUCUUUGCAACUUAUCAUUGCCUCCAGCGCUUACAUUUGAAAUUAUACCCAAACAUCCACACACACAAAUAAAUGCACAAGUUCCUGUUGAGUUUUUUUUCCCCAAACCCAAACCCAGAUGAUUUACACGAGUCAUACCAAAACACUUAAACUACAUCACAUAAUCAAAACUGCAUUUUUUACAAACUGCAUUUUUACAUCCACAAUAGGCUACAUACACCACACACCUUUAAACCGCAGGUGUGUUUACUUGCUCGUGUUGUAUUGACAGUCAAAUCAUGGUAUUAACUGUAUGAUCCUGGAUGACUCACAGUACUCCACGUCUCACAUUGCACUACAAAGGUACCGUAAAACGGGGUUAUAAGGCGGGAUAAUAAGGGACAAUUUUCGGGUUAAUAAGGGACAAUUUUUGGGAAAAUGUUUUAAAUG